This 83-nucleotide transfer RNA is filed under the name Kineosporia babensis. RNAcentral describes it as "tRNA-Ser". It matches the Rfam family "tRNA". From Rfam's summary of the family: Transfer RNA (tRNA) molecules are approximately 80 nucleotides in length. Their secondary structure includes four short double-helical elements and three loops (D, anti-codon, and T loops). Further hydrogen bonds mediate the characteristic L-shaped molecular structure. tRNAs have two regions of fundamental functional importance: the anti-codon, which is responsible for specific mRNA codon recognition, and the 3' end, to which the tRNAs corresponding amino acid is attached (by aminoacyl-tRNA synthetases). tRNAs cope with the degeneracy of the genetic code in two manners: having more than one tRNA (with a specific anti-codon) for a particular amino acid; and 'wobble' base-pairing, i.e. permitting non-standard base-pairing at the 3rd anti-codon position. Lineage: Bacteria; Bacillati; Actinomycetota; Actinomycetes; Kineosporiales; Kineosporiaceae. The record is from RNAcentral.
GGAAGCUGGCGCCAGUGGUGGCGAACCUGUCUCGAAAACAGGGCCGGGCAGUGCGCCCGAGGGUUCGACUCCUUCAGCUUCCG